RNA transcript from Gallus gallus (chicken), 2957 nucleotides. It is a transcript of the gene named RNA binding motif protein 24, with no coding region annotated. Lineage: Eukaryota; Metazoa; Chordata; Aves; Galliformes; Phasianidae. The record is from RefSeq and is marked validated.
GACCCGGUGGCUUUUAGGGGGGGAGGCCACUCGCUGCUUAGCGCUCCUCCGCCCGCCGCCGCUCCGCCGGGCUGGCCGCUGCCCGGCCGCUGCCCCUCCCGUCCACGGCACCUACCUCGAGCUCCCCGCGGGCUGCGGGGCUCCGCGCCCGGAGCAGGAGCAGGAGCAGGAGGCAGCUGGGCGGGCAGAAGCACCGCGGAGUCGCGCCGUGACCGGGUGGCGGGGGGAGACGGGAGGCAGAGAGGAGGAAAAAGAAAGCGGGGGAACAGCGAGGGUUGACUCUGGGAGCGGGUCUCGGCACCCAGGACCCGCACGCCCCGGCGGCCACGCGUGGGUGCAGAGCUCAGGGCCGGGCGGAAGAUGCACACGACGCAGAAGGACACCACCUACACCAAGAUCUUCGUCGGGGGCUUGCCUUACCACACCACCGACUCCAGCCUGCGCAAGUACUUCGAGGUGUUCGGCGACAUCGAGGAGGCGGUGGUCAUCACCGACCGGCAGACGGGCAAGUCCCGGGGAUACGGCUUUGUCACCAUGGCCGACAGAGCCGCUGCCGAACGAGCGUGUAAGGACCCCAACCCCAUCAUCGAUGGUAGGAAGGCCAACGUCAACCUGGCGUACCUGGGUGCCAAGCCGAGGAUCAUGCAGCCAGGUUUUGCCUUUGGUGUUCAGCAGCUUCAUCCAGCUCUCAUACAGAGGCCUUUUGGCACCAGAUCUAUUUAGAUCCUUAAUCCUAUUCCCACCUUCCAAAAAACUCUAUGCCGUAUGUCUUGCAUAGAAAUAAACAAGCUGGCACAAAACAGGACAGCAGUGGCCUGAUAAUCAAACAGGAUCCCAGCUCACUAUGUCUAUCCACAGGCUUUUGUGCAGCCCGGAGUGGUAAUUCCCCACGUCCAACCCGCAGCAGCCGCUGCUUCCACUACGCCCUACAUCGACUACACCGGAGCUGCCUACGCCCAGUACUCGGCCGCCGCGGCCGCCUACGAGCAAUACCCGUACGCCGCCUCUCCGGCCGCCGCUGCCGGCUACGUGGCGGCGGGGGGCUACGGCUACGCGGUGCAGCAGCCCAUCACCGCAGCGGCACCGGGGACGGCGGCUGCGGCGGCUGCGGCUUUUGGCCAGUACCAACCCCAACAGCUGCAGACAGAUCGUAUGCAAUAGCAGAUGGACUCCCGAGGGAAGCUCGUUCUUUCUCUUCCUCUUUUUUUGGCCUUCCAGUAUAAGUAGUUAAUCAGAGACAAUUGAUGUUAACUAAGGAGCUUUAAGGAAAGCGACGCUAUUGCGAAACUAAAGAGUUUUUAUUCCACUGUCUUCAUACAGUAUGCAUCCAAAUCUUGUUGUUAGAGGGGAGGGGUAGUGCGGCAUGGCUAGUUUCAAGUAUCGAUCCGGAAGAAAAUGGGAAAAAUAUACUGUACUGUCAUGAAAGAGUGGCAGGAGUAGCAAUGGGACUUCAUAUUUUAAAAGAAACGAGAACCAAAAAAAAAAAAACAAAGGUGUAUUUUUACAGUAUCAGGGAAGCAAAACUGCCUUUUAUAAGCGAGAAAGUGGUAUUCAAAAAGUUCGAACCAGGGGAAAAAACUGAGUCAGCAAUAUGUAACCUUUACCCAUUUUGAGAGAGGAAGCAAGCUUAAAGCACUGAUUGUCCUUUGUAGCUUUCAGAAGCUGUCUUCGUGAGAUAGCAUCUUCCCACCGUUUCACUAACGGGCAUCGAACAACCCAAGGAGGAUGGCCUGCUAGUAAGAUGGCGGACAGGCACCAAAGUUAUUUUCUUAUCUGUCCUCUGGAUGAGUGGAACUAUGGAGCAAGUGAUGUGGAAGUAAGGGGUGCAACAGCUGUAGAGACAAUCAAUAACACAGACAGUUCUGGACAGAACACAUCACUCAUGCUCAUGUGAUGAGCUUGUCACAUCCUAAUCCCUCGCCCCAUCCUGUUUCACUUUUGGGAAACUUUAACUGCUGGUGUCAGCUAUUCUGAUUCUAAAAUAGGAUCAGCCCUUUACUACAACAGCCUUCUCUUUCUAUUUAUUGCAUCUAUUCGUAACUUGUGAAUAAAGGCAGGAAGAAGCUUAAUGAAUUAAAACUUUUAAGAACUGUUUUAAGGGAAUUUUCUUUUCUGAAACCAUUUGUACGAUUUUAAUAUCUAUUUCAGGACUAUAUUUAAAAUAUUUAUUAGUGAACGUACAUUACACAAGGCAACUUUUGUUACCAAGACUGCAGUUCUUGAAGGGUUAAUGGUAUGUGAUUUAUACUGUGCCUUAAUUGUUAUGCUAUUUAAAAAGAAAUAUUUAUUUUGAAAGUUUUACUAUGCUGUGCUCUAAAGAAAGCAACUUUAGAUGUGACACUGUAAAAUUAUGUAUUCAUCUCAUGGCAUAAAUUAUUUAGUAGACUUAGAUGUAGCAUAUUAAAUAUUAACCUAAUUAACUAAGGAUGUUGACUUGGAUUUAUUUAAAUUCAGUAUGUGCACUGUAUGAGGGUACUCUUAAAUUAACACUUUUUUUUUUUUUAGGUUUUUACAUUAAAUAUUGCUAGUUCAUUCUUUUUCCCUCUCAUAGUUCUUCAUGUAGACCUCUCAAGUACAUUAGUGCAGUUUUCUCACUCAUCUGUAUGUAGACUGACUAUUUUUCCCUUUGCUAGGAAAUGCUGCUUUACAUUGUCCUGUGAAACUACAAUACUUGCAAUUUUUACUCUUGACCGACAUGGAAUUUAAUAUUUUACACUGUAUUGGAUUUUUUUAUACUUGAACAAUUUCAUACAAGGGAAGACAGGAUAGCAUUUUUAUGGACUUUUAUCCAACGUCACUGGAUUUAUUUUAAGUAUUCUGAGUACUAGCCAGUGUUACAAUGUAGACAUGACUCUUCUGUGCAUAUUAUUUAUUCAGUAUGUAUAUUGCUUUACAACAUUUCAGAUCUUUUAAUCAAUUCACUCGUAUUAAAAACAAUAAAAAAAACUCUUGUCGCA